UUUUAACUUCUAAAUAAUCAGAGACCCUUUCUCCAGGCCUCACAAAUAUUAGGGGUGGGUCGGCCCGACCCCCCAGUCAGCUGUUCCGUGGCCGGCUUGGAUCCAGAGUUUCUCGGGCAUGUUGAUUGGUUCUACAAGCUUUACCAGACCAGAAGAGGCUUGGGAUUGCAGCCUAUGAGAACUCAGCACAUGAAGAAGAAAUCCUCAGAGAUGAAGGCUGUUUUCCUGCCAGGAGCCAAAGAAAGGAUUAAAAAACUCUGGUGGAAUGUUGCAGCAAGAUAAACAGCGGUCAAGUCAUAGAUAACUGUUCGCCUCAGGGACUGAGAUUAUCAUCUGUCAACCUCUGGCAGGUCCCCUGUACCUUGUACCUCCCCCAGCAUUUUUUCCCCUUCUGCAUUCUUUCUUCCCCCUGCACAUGUAUAUAAUCAGCCGCCAUGAUUAAACGUUAGAGCU
Suricata suricatta (meerkat) is the source of this 453-nucleotide long non-coding RNA. NCBI's taxonomy places the organism in Eukaryota, Metazoa, Chordata, Mammalia, Carnivora, Herpestidae. The record is from Ensembl.